This 253-nucleotide ribosomal RNA is filed under the name uncultured bacterium. RNAcentral's name for it is "partial 16S ribosomal RNA". It matches the Rfam family "Bacterial small subunit ribosomal RNA", at positions 524 to 776 of the family's 1533-position model. The record is from RNAcentral.
UACGUAGGUGGCAAGCGUUGUCCGGAUUCAUUGGGCGUAAAGAGCGCGCAGGCGGCUUGGUAAGUCGGAUGUGAAAACCCGAGGCUCAACCUCGGGCGUGCAUCCGAAACUGCUCGGCUAGAGGUAGGUAGGGGAGAUCGGAAUUCCUGGUGUAGCGGUGAAAUGCGCAGAUAUCAGGAGGAACACCGGUGGCGAAGGCGGAUCUCUGGGCCUUACCUGACGCUCAGGCGCGAAAGCUAGGGGAGCGAACUGG